Molecule: ribosomal RNA, 468 nt
Filed under: uncultured bacterium
Lineage: Bacteria
Description: partial 16S ribosomal RNA
Rfam family: Bacterial small subunit ribosomal RNA
Source: RNAcentral
GACGAACGCUGGCGGCGUGCUUAACACAUGCAAGUCGAACGGAAAGGCCCUGCUUUUGUGGGGUGCUCGAGUGGCGAACGGGUGAGUAACACGUGAGUAACCUGCCCUUGACUUUGGGAUAACUUCAGGAAACUGGGGCUAAUACCGGAUAGGAGCUCCUGCUGCAUGGUGGGGGUUGGAAAGUUUCGGCGGUUGGGGAUGGACUCGCGGCUUAUCAGCUUGUUGGUGGGGUAGUGGCUUACCAAGGCUUUGACGGGUAGCCGGCCUGAGAGGGUGACCGGACAAAUUGGGACUGAUGUACCGCCAAGAAUCCCUAGGGAGGCAGCAGGGGGGAAAUGUGCAAAAUGGGCCGAAGCCUGAUGGAGCAAAGCCGCGUGGGGGGUGACGGCCUUCGGGGUGUAAAACCGUUUCGGCCGGGAACAAACGUGAGGGAAGGGAAUGGGUAAAGAAGCACCGGCUAACUACGUG